RNAcentral lists this long non-coding RNA (988 nucleotides) under Lathyrus oleraceus (garden pea). RNAcentral describes it as "Pisum sativum (pea) long non-coding RNA (PSAT_LNC038662)". The record is from RNAcentral. Lineage: Eukaryota; Viridiplantae; Streptophyta; Magnoliopsida; Fabales; Fabaceae.
UAUUAAGUGAGCUAAAGGGACAAACACAACAAAAUGGUUAACUUAAUUACUCAAAAAUUAACUUUAUAAAAUAAAUGUACGAUCUUUACGCACUAUAAAUUGAACAAAUAUAUUCUAUUUGUUACAUGUAAAAAGAAAAUAAAUAUGGCUAAAAUUCUGAAAUGUGUUUAUGUUUAUACAACAAUUUUAUUUCUUUGUCUCAUGCUUAUUGCAGAAGAAGUUCAUGGUCAGCUAUUUCUUCAUCUUUUCAAAUUAUCUUGUUUACUUUAUAUAUUUGAUCUUAUUUUUCAAUAAUAUUUUUUCUUUUUUUUUAUUACAGCGAGAAGAUGUGAAUACAAUGAUGAUUGUCAAAAAACAUUGCACAUGUUUCCUGUUAUUUAUAUGUGCUUCCGCGGACACUGUACACUGGUUAAAAUAAUACCGAGACCUAUAUGAGUAUCAGACUCAAAAGAUCACACAAUCGCUAUGUUGGGAAGAAAGAGUUCGCGUAUUAGAAAAUAAAGUAUAUGCAUAAUUUCAUACUAAAAUAUUAUAGAAAUUAAUUGAAAUACACUGACAGUGUAAAAGGAUUUUACACCGUCAGUUAAUCAUAACCGUUGGAUAUUGAAACAAGUUUGACUUUUAUUUUAAAAAUCUAUAAAGUAAUACAAACGGGUGAUGGUGAUGAAUCGAUUGUGUAAAACUUUUUACACUGACAGUGUAUAGUAAUUAAUCUCAAUAUUAUAUUAGUUGUCAUUUAAAUUUUGUACUUUCAAGUUUCAAACAAUAAUUUUUACUUUUUAUUUUAUAAUUUUGCGGACUUUAAAAUUAUGACUUUGCAUUUUAAGAUGUGAUAAUAAAUUUAAAUAAAAUAUUAAACAAUAUUUUAAUUAAAUUAUCUUCUUUUCUCUAUAUUUUGAAUAUGUCUUUCAAUUUAGACACAUAUUGUAGAUAAAAAAAAUUGUAACCAGUGUAAACAUGAACAAAAUUAAAAUGAUUGAAUUGUNNN